GGAACACUCAGCGUGCAGAAACAGCGAACCGCAGGACAAACACAUCAACAACACAAACAAGAUGCUAUGGGGACGAGCGACACCGCUAUCAUUUAGACUUUUAGUGGCCAGUAAGAAACUACAAGGACACCUCAGCAACUGCACAGCAACACCCUGGGCACCAUCCACAAUACCUGUAAUUAUGUGGGCCAGUCAUGUGAAACUCAUUUAAAAGACGAAGCCUGAUCACCUCCACAGCCAUUUUCCUGUCGGGUCAGAUGCGAUUUCCAGCCAUUAAAUAGUGACCUUGACACACAGCAUCCAGUCAGUAAAAAACGACAACCAUCACCAUUACCAUCUGUCUGGCUUAACUGUGCCCAAAUCUGCUACUUUCCUGACAAUACUUUAGAUGCCGUUUCUAGCGCUCUGUUGCAGGAAUACACGCUGUUAAAACACAGCCCAAGGUUGGAUUUCGUAAAUGUGACACUAGACCUGGCCAGAUAAUGUUUGACCUUUACAAUGAUCUCUAUUCUGCCUCAUGGCAAAAGCAGGGAGCAGCUGCAAACUGUAGGUGUUCUGUCAAAUCAGACUUACUGAAUGUCUUCUGUGUUCUCAGGCAGCUAUGAUUACAGUAUCUUACUGCUAAAAUCAUUAUAGAGGUACUCAAAUAUAAAAACAAAUGUUUGAAUCGAUCAUUUUAAUUUUGGUGUAUUGGAAUUACGCUCCCAUUGUGUCAUUUUGCAAGCACCAUAUUUAAAGAUUUUCCAGUGUGAUAAGCAAGUCAGCAGCAGGCUUUGGGACAAAGACUCAUAGCUGCAUGAUUCUCGCUGACUUUGCAACCAAGAAAUGCACCAAUCUGAAUCCUAGAGUCUGACAGUGCCAUGUGUUUAAUAUGGAUAUAGCUUAUGA
Molecule: long non-coding RNA, 888 nt
Organism: Paramisgurnus dabryanus
Lineage: Eukaryota; Metazoa; Chordata; Actinopteri; Cypriniformes; Cobitidae
Source: RefSeq, a predicted model, not a curated record